This 497-nucleotide ribosomal RNA is filed under the name uncultured bacterium. Its description in RNAcentral is "partial 16S ribosomal RNA". It matches the Rfam family "Bacterial small subunit ribosomal RNA", at positions 28 to 507 of the family's 1533-position model. The record is from RNAcentral.
GAUGAACGCUGGCGGCGUGCCUAAUACAUGCAAGUCGAGCGAACGGACGAGAAGCUUGCUUCUCUGAUGUUAGCGGCGGACGGGUGAGUAACACGUGGAUAACCUACCUAUAAGACUGGGAUAACUUCGGGAAACCGUAGCUAAUACCGGAUAAUAUUUUGAACCGCAUGGUUCAAAAGUGAAAGACGGUCUUGCUGUCACUUAUAGAUGGAUCCGCGCUGCAUUAGCUAGUUGGUAAGGUAACGGCUUACCAAGGCAACGAUGAAUAGCCGACCUGAGAGGGGGAACGGGCCCACUGGAACUGGAGACCGGUCCAACCCUCUCAGGGGGGCCGGAGGUGGGAAAUUUUGCGAAAGGGGGAAAACCCUGACGGAGAAACCCCGGUGGGGGAAGAAGGUGUUCGGGUUGGAAAACCCUUUUUUUUGGGAAAAAAAAUAGUUGUAAAAAACGGUGCCCAUUUGACGGUAACCAAAGAAAAAGACCCGGCUAAAUUCGUG